AUGCAGUUGAGGAGUCUCAAAUAGGACAAAAUGCUCAUCCUGAAU
RNAcentral lists this non-coding RNA (45 nucleotides) under Trichobilharzia regenti. Lineage: Eukaryota; Metazoa; Platyhelminthes; Trematoda; Strigeidida; Schistosomatidae. The record is from RNAcentral.